RNAcentral lists this non-coding RNA (24 nucleotides) under Cricetulus griseus (Chinese hamster). Lineage: Eukaryota; Metazoa; Chordata; Mammalia; Rodentia; Cricetidae. The record is from RNAcentral.
ACAGUUAAGCUUUUCCAUGUGGUC